Molecule: ribosomal RNA, 251 nt
Filed under: uncultured bacterium
Lineage: Bacteria
Description: partial 16S ribosomal RNA
Rfam family: Bacterial small subunit ribosomal RNA
Source: RNAcentral
CGUGAGGCUGCGCCAAUCUUAAAAAGUUAGUCUCAGUUCGGAUUGUUCUCUGCAACUCGAGAACAUGAAGUUGGAAUCGCUAGUAAUCGCGGAACAGCAUGCCGCGGUGAAUACGUUCCCGGGUCUUGUACACACCGCCCGUCACGCCAUGGGAGUUGGUUCUGCCUGACGGCGUUGAGGUAACCUGAGCAAUCAGGAGCCUGGCGACCACGGUAGGGUCAGCGACUGGGGCGAAGUCGUAACAAGGUAGC